GCACAGCUGCGCCUGCGUACUGCGCGCGGGGAACUUUUUUGCGCUUCACCGUCCCCUCUGGUCUGAACUUGGAAGCGGCACGAGCUCUUUCUCACGCUGGCAGACCUGCGGAGCGCGCAGACGCGACCAUACGAUGGCCGGCACAAGGAUGGGGCGGGAGGACAGCUUUCUGGAUACGGCGUGGGGCGGGUCCGCAGCCCGGGAGACCUGGGCUGGAGCGGCCCUGUCACCCGUUUCGCUGCCAAGCACAGGGCUGAGGUGCGGAGGGACUACUGAGAGGACUUCAAUGCGAGUCAGUUCACCUGUGGACGGCGUGUGGAGGAGGUGGUUGGCGAAUAGUGAAAUAUACAUAACUUUGAGAAGGGAAGAGAUCGUUUCUUAACGAGAGCAGAGAUUUGAAGGCAGACGCGGUGGAGGCAUUCCCGCUGCCCGAAGUGCAGAAGACCAAUCAGAAUGCAAUGUAUCUUAAUACACGUGCAAGGAAAGACAGGAGAGGACAUUAAAAUUGGGACAGUUUAUGGAGACUUCAUGGCUGGGGGAAUCUGUACCUCGGGCACAGUGAGUCGUGGUUGAAGAAGCCUGCAGCUCAUCAUGUCAAGCGCAGGGUGUCAGGACUGUGGUUGAAGAUGAAGCAAGCAGCUCAGUGAAGUGUGCACAGCAAAGAAAUUAGGACACAGAUGCACAUAGUAGGAAGCCCAUGUGAAGACACAGGGAGAAGAUGGUCAUCUGCAAGCCCAGGAGAGAGGCCUCAGGAGAAACCACUCCUGCUGACACCUGGAUCUCGGACUUCCAGCCUGUAGAACUCUGAGAGAAUAAAUUUCUGUUGAUUAAGUCA
This is a long non-coding RNA of Sapajus apella (tufted capuchin), 835 nucleotides long. RefSeq lists it as uncharacterized. The transcript is spliced from 3 exons. Lineage: Eukaryota; Metazoa; Chordata; Mammalia; Primates; Cebidae. The record is from RefSeq and is a predicted model, not a curated record.